This is a long non-coding RNA of Mya arenaria, 187 nucleotides long. RefSeq lists it as uncharacterized. NCBI's taxonomy places the organism in Eukaryota, Metazoa, Mollusca, Bivalvia, Myida, Myidae. The record is from RefSeq and is a predicted model, not a curated record. The transcript is spliced from 3 exons.
AUUACUAAAGUAGUCAUGUUCGCUAACAUCCGAGCUUUGAUAUUUGUUUGCGCAAUUGCAUCAACCAUCAAUACGGUCAAGCUCCAAGCGUGUUAUGAUGACGCAGAUUGCAUCAACAUCGAAGUGAGUUGUCCAUGGUUCAUAAUUUGUAUAGAAAUAAGCUGUGUCUGCAGCUUCCACAAACGCC